CCACCCCUAGAAGAAGGUGCUAAUGCUAGAACUCUCAGUAAUUAUCCUAGAUAAUUACUUAAUCAAUUAAUGUAUCUUUAUACCUAACACUUGUUUUUGUCUAUUUCAGAUCACCUUCGAGAUCGACAUGCAAGAGUCGGGUACGUCAGGCUACAUAACCGAGUUGUGGAAUGAUCAGUUCAGGGAGAAGUACGUGAUGCACAACCACUACAGGACUUUUGAAAGUCGUGAAGAAGCUUUGACCCAUCCACCCUUGCAUUUGAGCAUAGGAUGGACAAGUGGCACUGCUCUGCCGUUAUUUUCAAAAUUUAUAAAUUUUGGAAUUGGACGUCUUCUAGGGUAAAGCAAUUGGACGAGUGAAGCAGUUUCCCAUCAAGAAUAAAUUUGUUUUUCAAUUUCAAUACGAACAUUUUGGUUUUAUUAAUGAAAUAUAUUUGUUUCAUACUAUGCUAUUAAUAUAAUAAAUUUGUCAUGUAGUACUACGGUCUAAUAAUAUUAUCUUCCCUUUUAGUUUCGAUUUUUGCCAAAGGCAAAUUCGAACCAAAUUAUUAUAGUUAAUCCAUUGUGAGGCUUGACCUACUUCCCACCCUUUAGUGUAGAAAAU
RNAcentral lists this long non-coding RNA (604 nucleotides) under Malus domestica (apple). RNAcentral's name for it is "long non-coding RNA (MDOM_LNC008167)". Lineage: Eukaryota; Viridiplantae; Streptophyta; Magnoliopsida; Rosales; Rosaceae. The record is from RNAcentral.